This 2190-nucleotide long non-coding RNA is filed under the name Macaca mulatta (Rhesus monkey). RNAcentral's name for it is "lncRNA (ENSMMUG00000054529.1)". Lineage: Eukaryota; Metazoa; Chordata; Mammalia; Primates; Cercopithecidae. The record is from RNAcentral.
CCUCCACACAAAAGUUUAGUUUGAAAUAACUGCCACCACACAGGAUGUCAGGCACUGGGACUGAGGACAUAACAAAGAGGUUUAUUUAAAUCUGGAAGCAUUAUGAUUUUCCCUAGCCUAAGGUGUUGAUUGCCAUCGUAUAAAUCCUCCUUUCUAAUAAAAAAAUGACAUUUCAGAACCAAAUAGUGCUAUACACAUGAAUAGUCAGAAUUUAACUGGUUUAUGUGCAGAGUAAUGAAAGCGAGUUUUACCGGAAGAGUGAAUUUGGAAUUGUGUCUCCUGUCUGACUGUGCUCUUUUAUCAUCCUCCAGUCCACCCACAAAUGAAUUAUCAGGCACGAACCUGGAGGCGCAUAUCAAUGAAAGGUGAGUUAUGCACACGUGUGUCUUUAUUUAUCUAACCAUAACUGAGCAUAGAUGUUUUCACACACACUGGCACAUAAACAAAUAUAUUCAUGCAUCCAUCCAUGCGUCCAUCCAUACACACUUCUCUCAACACACAUCCACUAAGAACCCAUGCACACAAUGGAAACACACAACAAGGAGACAGAUGGACGGACACUUGUGGAGUUUAUUCUGAGAAGCCUGCAUGGCCACAGAGAGUGGUUUUUCACAGGGUUUCGAAUUCUUCUCGUCAUAGCCUUUGUAGGUAACAUUGCAUCCUUUUCUAAUGGAGUCAUAUAGAAAGGAGCAGGUCACAGGAGAGCUGCUGCUUCCUGUUCGUGUAUUUGUCACCCUUAGUUCCUAGUAAGCAGCUUCUUAAAGGACUCAGAUUUCCUGAGUGUGAGAGCCUGUGAGAUUGACAGAAGGGAGGAGAAAAUCCUAUUUGUAACAUGGAGGAGAUGGCAGGUGACAAGGAGCAGUGAAGCCCUUGGCAGAAAAGAAUGGAGCGAAUGGAACAUGGACUUGUCCCUCACACUCCAGAGCUCUGUCAGCACAUGAGUUUGGUGCUAAAACACAAACAGAAGCACAGCACCUCAUUGGAUGCAGCCCUUCCUGAGGCCCACAGCUACUCGCCUGUGUCUCCUGGACAGGAAAGACUAGCAUGAUGGGUGAAAGGAAAGAGGUAAUGGAGAGAUCCAGGAAGUGGGCCAUAGAUGGGAUUAGAGGGAGGAAUGCCUACACAGUGGAGUUGAAUUCAAAAGAAAUUCACCCACAAAAGGCUGUCGUGCAUUGGCCAGCUCCAGUGGUAGAGAGUUUUGGUGAACUCUUGAGUCAGUGAGUCUUAGAUAGGUGUAAAGUAUGUGCUGCAAUCGUAUAAAGUAUGAUGUGUAGGGUAAAUGUCAUGGCAGAUUCCAAAGAACCAAAUACACACAUGACUUCUGUAAGGGUAAGGCAGUUUACAGGUUGAAAAGUACUUGGAAGGUUGGGUGCAGUGGCUCACGCCUGUAGUCCUAGCACUUUGGGAGGCCAGGGCGGGUGGAUAACAGGAUCAGGAGUUCAAGGCCCACCUGGCCAACAUGGUGAUACCCUGUCUCUACUAAAAAUGCAAAAUUAGCCGGGCAUGGUGGCGGGUGCCUGUAGUCCCUGCUCCUCAGGAGACUGAGGCAGGAGAAUUGCUUGAACCUGGGAGACAGAGUUUGCAGUGAGCUGAGAUUGCGCCACUGCACUCCAACUUGGGAGACAGAGCGAGACUCUGUCUCAAAAAACAACAACAAAAACAAAAACAAAGCAAAAGCAAUUGGAACUAUUUUGAACUGAAAACGUUAAGUCUAGGAAGUUACAUGUCUUACUAUGUACAUUUUAGGUUCUUUGGCACUGCCCUAGGUGUGAAUUGAGAGUAUCUUCUAGUAGGCUGGCCAGUGCAACAUUUGAUAUAAAGGAAUACAGUUAUACAUGUAUCUCUGCCUAUACAAACACAUACAUACAUGCGUUCAUACACACAAGAGAGAUUGAGUUGGGCUGUUGACUGUCACAAGCAUCCAUGGGAACAAGGAGUUCCCUGGAAACUAUUUCUAGAGUCCUCUUAGAAUGAGCUUUGUAUGGAAUAUUCUUUUGUUUUGUGGAUGGAGGUAGGAAAACGGGGAGGAACUCAUAGAGGGAGGUUUUUUAUGUUAGUGUUUGUCACAUUUCCUUUCUGUGAGAAUGAGACUGUACUGGUAGCGUGGACCAAGGGAGAAGCGAAUCCUGCUUGGAGCGAGAAGGAGAUAGGAGUGGAGAAAGAUCAGAGAAAUGCCAGCAAAAAAAAAAA